UGCAAGUCGAACGAUGAACCACUUCGGUGGGGAUUAGUGGCGAACGGGUGAGUAACACGUGGGCAAUCUGCCCUGCACUCUGGGACAAGCCCUGGAAACGGGGUCUAAUACCGGAUACUGACCCGCUUGGGCAUCCAGGCGGUUCGAAAGCUCCGGCGGUGCAGGAUGAGCCCGCGGCCUAUCAGCUAGUUGGUGAGGUAAUGGCUCACCAAGGCGACGACGGGUAGCCGGCCUGAGAGGGCGACCGGCCACACUGGGACUGAGACACGGCCCAAACUCCUACGGGAGGCAGCAGUGGGGAAUAUUGCACAAUGGGCGAAAGCCUGAUGCAGCGACGCCGCGUGAGGGAUGACGGCCUUCGGGUUGUAAACCUCUUUCAGCAGGGAAGAAGCGAAAGUGACGGUACCUGCAGAAGAAGCGCCGGCUAACUACGUGCCAGCAGCCGCGGUAAUACGUAGGGCGCGAGCGUUGUCCGGAAUUAUUGGGCGUAAAGAGCUCGUAGGCGGCUUGUCACGUCGGUUGUGAAAGCCCGGGGCUUAACCCCGGGUCUGCAGUCAAUACGGGCAGGGUAGAGUUCGGUAGGGGAGAUCGGAAUUCAUGGUGUAGCGGUGAAAUGCGCAGAUAUCAGGAGGAACACCGGUGGCGAAGGCGGAUCUCUGGGCCGAUACUGACGCUGAGGAGCGAAAGCGUGAGGAGCGAACAGGAUUAGAUACCCUGGUAGUCCACGCCGUAAACGGUGGGCACUAGGUGUGGGCGACAUUCCACGUCGUCCGUGCCGCAGCUAACGCAUUAAGUGCCCCGCCUGGGGAGUACGGCCGCAAGGCUAAAACUCAAAGGAAUUGACGGGGGCCCGCACAAGCGGCGGAGCAUGUGGCUUAAUUCGACGCAACGCGAAGAACCUUACCAAGGCUUGACAU
This 917-nucleotide ribosomal RNA is filed under the name Streptomyces albogriseolus. RNAcentral's name for it is "bacterial SSU rRNA". It matches the Rfam family "Bacterial small subunit ribosomal RNA", at positions 56 to 987 of the family's 1533-position model. Lineage: Bacteria; Bacillati; Actinomycetota; Actinomycetes; Kitasatosporales; Streptomycetaceae. The record is from RNAcentral.